RNAcentral lists this ribosomal RNA (428 nucleotides) under uncultured bacterium. Its description in RNAcentral is "bacterial SSU rRNA". It matches the Rfam family "Bacterial small subunit ribosomal RNA", at positions 355 to 775 of the family's 1533-position model. The record is from RNAcentral.
UCGAGAAUUUUUCUCAAUGGGGGAAACCCUGAAGGAGCGACGCCGCGUGGAGGAUGAAGGUCUUCGGAUUGUAAACUCCUGUCAUUGGUGAACAAAGCUUGCCGGUUAACUGCCGGUGAGACUGCUAGUAGCCGAAGAGGAAGGGACGGCUAACUCUGUGCCAGCAGCCGCGGUAAUACAGAGGUCCCAAGCGUUGUUCGGAUUUAUUGGGCGUAAAGGGUGCGUAGGCGGCAGUGUAAGUUGGACGUGAAAUCCUGGGGCUCAACCUCAGAAUUGCGUUCAAUACUGCAUUGCUAGGGCGCUGUAGAGGAGAUUGGAAUUUACGGUGUAGCAGUGAAAUGCGUAGAUAUCGUAAGGAAGACCAGUGGCGAAAGCGAAUCUCUGGGCAGCAGCCGACGCUGAGGCACGAAGGCCAGGGGAGCAAACGG